AACCCGAUUUCAGGGCUAUUUUGACUGGACUACUUACUGAUGAUAUAUCCAUGGAAACAUUCGCCAUCAAGCUGUGACGUCGCAUGCGCACGAAGGCUCCCACGUGGGGGAAAAUCUCACGUUCUGGCAUCACUGUUUCGCGCCAUAAAGAAUCUGACAUUUUUUAAACAUUAAGGUGCAUCUUUGGCUUAUUUGGAUAAAUAUUACUGGGAUUUAUUCUGUGUAAGGAAUCUUGGCCAUUAGGAGUGAAGAAUAAUUUGAAUGAAUUGCAUAAUUAGAAAAAUGAAGACAGAAGAAAUUCGACCUUAUUUCUAAAUGGAACGCCGACUAGAAAAGAUGGCCCUAUGCAGCAGCAUCUCUUGGAGAUCGUCGUACAAGAUUGCUCGUUCUAUUCGAUCGAACAAGGGGAGGAGGAGGGGGAAGAAGGGGGGAGGAGGGGGACGGCAAAGGUCAGGAGACCGGCUUGGGCGCUGGAUUCCAAAGUUACUUUCACACGUGACUAGGAAAUUAUCUAUUCGCAUUGGUCGUUCGCGAUUCUUCGAUUUAUGUCGUGUGCGACCACGAUUACGUCUUUCUGCAUCUUUAAAGAACCGAACAAAUCCAUUGGGAGAGGGAUGGGAGGAUUCUUAGGUCGUCGACCUCGAUCCAAAUUUUCAAACUUAUUAUUCAAAUGUUUUGUACAAAUACAAAUAAUCCAAUUUAGUCAAACAAAAAUAGUGAUGAUGAUGAUGAUGAUGACUACAAACUACUGCAAACAAUAAAUGAUUAUUCUUGAGAAGAAGUUUCUUAAGAGUUGGACAUUUUCUAGAAAAACAUUUACAAUUAGAGUACAUAAGUUUACCGUACGGUUUACGAUACGACUUGAGUGCUUCUUGGAAGAUGCAAGUUAAUAAGCGUUGUAAAGGGCGAGAAUGAAAGAGAAGGAGAAGAUAAUAUAGAAGUAAUUAUAUCUUAGCGAUUAAUAUACUCUUUUUAAGUACGGAAGAGAAGCUUUAUUCUCUACCUAUCCUAUUAAAGAACAGGUGAAGGAUGGAUGAGAAAAAAGAUAGUUCGUCAAGGAUCGUGGAUGGAAGCUUGUGGUUCUACAUGGCACUUGGACUGACGUGACGGUACAUCGAUCUAAUAGAAUUUAUAGGGAUCAUACGGGAUAUCCAUUCAAGGACGACUGGUCUUUACCGAGUUCAUCGACUCUCUUUUUCUUUUUCUUACUUUUAUUUCAUUUGGAAAUUUUGAUCACUUGUGAUUGAUCUUUCCGUUUUAUUCCAUUUAAUUAAUUAAUUACUUUAAACAAUACUAGGGGUGCCCCGGCCAC
Molecule: long non-coding RNA, 1312 nt
Filed under: Polistes dominula (European paper wasp)
Lineage: Eukaryota; Metazoa; Arthropoda; Insecta; Hymenoptera; Vespidae
Description: uncharacterized LOC107067838, transcript variant X2
Source: RNAcentral